UAGACUUUAAGUAGCACGAUUAUGAAACAUGGGCCUGCAAUACGAAAUCAAGCACUUCGCAUAGUAAACCGUAAACCUAGUCGGCACACACGUUCUUUCUCAUACGCAGUGAUUCAAUGGUGUGGCUACAGCUUUUUCCUUGAACCCGAAAGCAGCGGAGCACCUCUGCAGAUCGGACAUGUUGAACCCUUUCAUGGACACGGCCCACAUGGGCGCUCUCAAACUAAGCCCACCGCACGCCAUGCCAGUCGAGCCGGCAGGAGCCCACGUACAGGGAAACCACCAAUUUGCAGCUCAGGCCAACGGUUAUCCUGGUCCUCACCCCCAUGCUCAUCACCACCAUCACGGGCAUGUUAGCAGCUACGCUGCACGAGACUUUUUGCUCCGCAGAGAGCAUAUGCCAACUUUAGCUAGUAGCUUAGCAACCCACGAUAACCUGAGUAAUAACGGCACAGCGCACCAUGGGAUGUUUGUGCCCUCUUCUGCGACGCUGCACGGGACUCACCAUCACACGGUUGACCCUUCCUCCACGCACGUGCUUUUUCCUGGUUUGGAGUAUUCUGCGGCUCACCACGCUGGACAUAUGAAUGGUCAAGUUAGGCUUUCCUUGCCUGGAAGUGACAUGUACGGGCGUCCGGAUACUUUUAACCAAAUGGCCGGUCCAAGAACUGACCACUUUGCUGGAACCUAUGGUGCCAUGAACAUGGGUCCUCACGGUCCGGGAGCCUUCUUCAGAUACAUGCGACAGCCAGUAAAACAAGAAAUGGCAUGUGUCUGGGUUGAUCAGGAGCAACCAAGUCCGAAAAAACCGUGUAACAAAAUAUUUACUUCUAUGCACGAGAUAGUGACUCAUAUCACAGUAGAACAUGUCGGUGGUCCCGAAUGCUCGAAUCAUGCAUGUUACUGGCAGGACUGUUCCCGUAACGGACGGCCGUUCAAGGCCAAGUACAAACUGGUCAACCACAUACGGGUCCACACCGGGGAAAAGCCGUUCCCCUGCCCCUUCCCUGGCUGUGGAAAAGUUUUUGCCAGAAGUGAAAACCUAAAGAUACAUAAACGAACACACACAGGAGAAAAACCGUUUAAGUGUGAGUUCGAGGGGUGUGACCGGAGGUUUGCUAACAGUUCCGACCGGAAGAAACAUUCUCACGUGCAUACUAGUGACAAACCAUACAACUGUAAGAUACGAGGCUGCGACAAAAGUUACACUCACCCGAGCUCUCUACGGAAACACAUGAAAGUACACGGAAAGUCUCCGCCGCCUCCUGGUGCAGCGCCAGGUUCCACAGGCAGCAACAGCUCCAUGUCUGACUACGACAGCGACACGCCGCCUUGUACCACUACUAAUGGUAGCAGCGGUAACGGCAACGCGCUGAUCGGGACACGGUCUACCUGCCCAGCAGGCCACACGGCGUUACCCUUAACUAACCCUGGACAUGGAGGAGGAGGCGGCCAUCCAACUAACUUGAGUGAAUGGUACGUUUGUCAGUCUACAGCCGGUAUGCCCACUCCUCCUAGUAAUGAACACUCGCCAGUGGUAGGAGUGACCCACCAUCUACACGGGUCUUCAUCCUACUGACUUAGAGUUUAUUCAUACAAGACUUUAUAAUUGUACAAAAACGAAGUAACCAAAUGUUCGUAUGGAUGGAUUUUUACUAACCACUGUGUAACUGAACAGAGCCUCCGUAGAGUCAAUGGUCAACCAUAUCUUUCAAAAGAUCAGAAAAAAGUCACUACUCCAACCGAUUGUCAACAAUGAAUAGACCUGAGUAAACUGACAGGGUGCUUCAAAUGUAUUUCACCGUGGAACAGCUAGGACUUGGGAUAUGGAAGAACUCAUCCUGUUGUUGUUUAAGGAAUCUGCUAUUAGUUCUUUAAAAUCAUAUUGACAGUUUAACAAAGCUAUGAUAGAGUGUGCACAUUGUCAAAGGCGUUUUUGCUUUGUAGUCGAGAAGAAGUGAUUGGUAUAAAAAAUAACGUGGUUUAUAUAUAUGUAAUAACGCUAAGCUGGUGUUCAAUUUAUGGUUUAUAUAUAUAUAAUACCGCUAAGCUGGUGUUAAAUUUAUUUCUAAAGCUUACUUUAAAAAUAACUGCUUAUCGGAAAAGGUAACACUACAAAGCAAUAACGCCUUCAAAUGUUCUUUUAUGUAUCAAAAUUGGACAGUGUUGAUAAAUGUAUAAUGAUAGACUAAACUUGGUAAUGGGAUAGUUCAUUGUUUUAGGCAUUAUAUACUUUUAUUUUAUUUAUGGAUAAUAAGUUUGAUAUCUU
RNAcentral lists this unclassified non-coding RNA (2269 nucleotides) under Limulus polyphemus (Atlantic horseshoe crab). RNAcentral describes it as "zinc finger protein ZIC 4-like, transcript variant X1". The record is from RNAcentral. Lineage: Eukaryota; Metazoa; Arthropoda; Merostomata; Xiphosura; Limulidae.